Molecule: long non-coding RNA, 390 nt
Organism: Oncorhynchus tshawytscha (Chinook salmon)
Lineage: Eukaryota; Metazoa; Chordata; Actinopteri; Salmoniformes; Salmonidae
Source: Ensembl
GGAGGCUAUAUACAGGGUGUUACGGUACAGAGUCAAUGUGGAGGCUAUAUACAGGGUGUUACGGUACAGAGUCAAUGUGGAGGCUAUAUACAGGGGGUACCGGUACAGAGUCAAUGUGGAGGCUAUAUACAGGGGGUACCGGUACAGAGUCAAUGUGCGGGGGCACCGGUGAGGUAAUAUGUACAUGUAGGUAGAGGUAUUAAAGUAACUGUGCAUAGAUAAUAACAAAGAGUAGCAGUGUAGAAGGGGGAGGGCAGCCAUUUGAUUAGAUGUUCAGGAGUCUUAUGCCUUGGGGGUAGAUACCGUUGAGAAAUAUUUUUGUCCUAGACUUGGCGCUCCGGAACCGCUUGCCGUGUGGUAGCAGAGAGAACAGUCUAUGACUGGGGUGGC